GAUCGAACCAGAAGCAAAACAGUUGAGUUGAAGAUCGAAGCUCUAGGUCAAAACACACUCUCUCUUUCUCAAUUUUUGUAGUUUUUUCUUUCGACUUCAUCAAAGUCUAAACCCUAAAUGCUCGCCUUCUCAAGCACAACAACUUCAAAAGGAUUUAUCAUUUUCUUGGAGAUCUUAUAGAGUCGUAUUCUUAGCAUCAUCAAAGUCAGCCGCGUCGAGCCGUCAUGGUCUGUGUGACAAGCUAAAAGGUCACAUUGACUUGAGCAAAAGAAUAGUUAAGCUUGUAAAUAGAGGCAGAACAAUUAGCAAGCUCGUUCACUCUAUCGUGCGACCCGUGCCUGAGACUCUUGGAAUCGAAUUAGAGGUAUUGAUUUUGAUUUGAUUGUCGACAUAUUUUUGUUUUUAGAUUUUUUUUUUUUUUAUAUUUUAUAGUGUUUAAUUAGCAAUAAAUUUGAAUUUCUAGAGUAAUUUAGGUGUACUGGCGAAUUAAAUGUUGAUUUUAUGUAUUUACUUUUUGAUUUGAAAUCCGCUUUCUCUUAAGUGUUAUUCGUUUGUGUUUCGAAUGCAGGUUUAGUGCUUGAUGAAUUGCCUCAUUCGGGUCUACUUUUUAUGAUGCAGAAAACUUAUUGUUUUUUUUUUCUAUCUAAAUUUGGUUGUUAUUAAUUAAUAAAAGUAGAGAGAUUCAGUUGUUAUUCUUGGUUCUUUAUGCAGAUGGUGCUCUUGCUUUUCUUCUGUGUUCUAUUCUUUUUGUUCAAGAUAUUUAUAGUUGUCGAUCCAAUAUUUAUUUAUUCAUUAGUUUUUACUGAAAGCAUAAAUACUCUUCCACUCGCCAAAAAUUAUUUUAUUCCAGUAGUUUUUCAAUUGUAAUGCCAGCUAGGUCCUACCAAUGCUAUUAUUUUAUGCCAGUAGUUUGAGUUCAGGUUCCCAGUGGUUUUCUUCAUUUUAAACGUGGUUAGGCAAUUGGAGUAUUGAUAACAUUCAAGCCGUUUUUAGUUCAACGCCGCAACUAGAGAAAGAUCCUUUUAAUUUUCAAGCCAAUUAAGUUUUCGGAAUGCUUCAACCAAGUUAUUUCUUUGGGGUUCCACAUCAGUUUUUGGGGUAGCCAUAAACUUAUGAUGAUGAUGAUGAUGAUGAUGCUCUCGCCAAUUGAUUAUUGCUAAUUUUCUUUGUACCUAUUAGCUGUUCCAGGCUAUCUUAUUGCCAUUUUUACAAUGUUACUAAAAUUUGUUGGUAUAGCAGUGCCCUUUCAUUAUAGUUGGCCUCUUAUGAGUGUAAUUAAUCUCAAAUAUCAACAUUAUAAAUUAUGAGUGUAAUUGAUUGGGUAAAUACUCGUUUAAUCCCUAAAUUUUGAUAUAAGUGUCCGUUUAAUCUCCAAAUUUUAAAAAGUGCGUAAAAACACUCUUAUUGUUCAAUAUGUUACAUUCUUAUCAUUGUUUGUUUCUUUUCUUUUACAAUAAUAAUAUUGCAACAAUAUUCUUGACAUUAAUUAAUUUAUUUAUAAAAAAAUUAAUUAGCAAAUUAACCAAUAAAUAUAAGUGUGAAAGAACUAAUAUUUUUUGUAUCUGUUAAACAAUCUUACUAAUAAUUUUUUAUAAAUAAAUUAAUAUUAGCCUACUUAAAGUAAUGUCUAAUAUUUU
RNAcentral lists this long non-coding RNA (1637 nucleotides) under Citrus x clementina. RNAcentral describes it as "Citrus clementina (C. clementina) long non-coding RNA (CCLE_LNC002742)". The record is from RNAcentral. Lineage: Eukaryota; Viridiplantae; Streptophyta; Magnoliopsida; Sapindales; Rutaceae.